AUGUUAGCAUUCAAAAUGCACAUGCAAAGGGUUAAUGGCAAGAGCUGUAGAAUUCUGCUGGUGUUGCACAGUCAGUGGCAGUUAUGGUGGCAGUUGGUACAGUUAUGGCAGUUUGGGAACAGACUUAAUGGUCAGAGUAGCAGGAAGACUCUGCUCCUGAAAUGGAUGGUUAUUGGUCGUGGCAGGUUGCAACACCCCUGCCGGCACCCACAGACAAAUCCCGGAGUGCAGACCACAAAACCAGAGGAGCUCCAUCGGCUGCUGGUGUUGGGAAAUUGCUCAAGCAACGCUUUGUCUUUAUCCUCUGCCAUAUGCAUCUUGUCCUUUCCACAACUGGUAUAUGGACCCAUAAGCAGAAAGCAAAACUGGGACCUUACAACCACUUCACCCACAAUGCUCUUCAGCUUGCAUAGCAAAGAGGACUUAUGGGCUUCUCUGAAUGAUUUGCCUACUGACCAUCCAUCCUGAUUUUGCCAGGACUGAUUGGUCUUUGUUGAGCAUUUGUUCUGAUUGGUUUGCAGAAAGAUAUGACAAUGAACAUCCAUCCUGAUUUGCUUGUGUGGCAUUUAUACCACUUCCUGUUAACCAUUUGUCUACCCCCACACUUUUCAGGUCAUCUCCACAUCACUUUCCUAAACACACAAUGCCUGUUUUUGUUUUAAAAUGGAUUUGUUGCACUAAUGCAAUGGAGUGUUUUAAUCCACUUCGACUGCGCAAGCCCAAAUUUCCAGUAUGUACUUGAAUUCCUCCUGCAAAAUAGGUAUAGUCUGGAGGUAAGUAACACGUGUUUGUAAACAGUCAUGUUUAUGCGUCACUUGCGUGUAGGGCAUAAACAUGAUUGCUUGGGAGCGCAGCUGGACCUCAGUGCUGGACCUCAGUGUCUGGGCAGAAUGAUGGAGGUGGAGAUGCUCCUUCAGGUAUACUAGGCUGAGGCCUUUUAGGGCUCAUCAUUUGCCAGGUGCUUUCAGAUGCUCAGUAUCCCUGUGUGGUUACAACAACCCUGUAAAGUAGGCCAGAGCUAUACGUUCCCCAUAUUGCAGCUGUAGGGACUUCUGAGGCUGAGAUGGGUCUUGGCUAAAGACACCGAAUGACGCCAGGGCAGAGACUGGAACGGGGGACCCCCCAGCUAUGUAGCUCAGACCCUCCAAGGGUCCCUAUUUUCCAGGGACAUCCCUGAUUUAGAGAAGCUGUCCCAGUUUCUGAUUUGAUCCCAGAAUGUCCCACUUUUCCUUAAAAAGGUAAAGGGACCCCUGACCAUUAGGUCCAGUCGUGACCGACUCUGGGGUUGCGGCGCUCAUCUCGCUUUAUUGGCCAAGGGAGCUGGCGUACAGCUUCCGGGUCAUGUGGCUAGCAUGACUAAGCUGCUUCUGGCGAACCAGAACAGCGCACGGAAACGUCGUUUACCUUCCUGCCGGAGCGGUACCUAUUUAUCUACUUGCACUUCAUGCUUUCGAACUGCUAGGUUGGCAGGAGCAGGGACCGAGCAACAGGAGCUCACCCCGUUGCGGGAUUCGAACCGCCAACCUUCUGAUUGGCAAGUCCUAGGCUCUGUGGUUUAACCCACAGCGCCACCCGUGUCCCACUUUUCCUUAGGAUGUCCCUAUUUUCAUGGAGUUAUCCAACCUCCGAGCUGUCUGAAGGCAAUUCUGUAUAGGGAAUUUUUUUAAUGUUUUAUUUUUUAUUAUGUUUUUAAUAUAUGUUGGAAGCUGCCCAGAGUGGCUGGGGCAACCCAGUAAGAUGUGUGAAGUAUAAAGAGUAAAAUUAUCAUUAUGGAAUGGGACGUCCCUAUUUUCAUUGGAGAAAUGUUGGAGGGUAUGCUAGCUCACAGCACAAUCCUAGCCAGGCCUACUCAGAAGUUAAUCCUUUUGAAUACAAUAAGGCUUGCUGCUAGGUAAAUGGGGUCAGGACUGCAGCCUUUAGCUGUUCACUCCACAACUUGUUUUUAUUUAGUUUUGCAUUUAUAUCCCACUAUUCCUCCAAGGUGUACAAAGCUCUCCCCUUUUUAGUCCCACAACAACCCUGUGAGGUUGUUUAGGCCUUGUGGAAAAGUAAGUCUUCAGCUAAAUAACCUAAGGUUAUUUAUAGGUUAUUUAAGGUUAUUCAUAGGAAGCUGCCUUGGACAGAGUCAGUGUGUUGACCUAUCUACCUCCGCAGCAGCAGCAGCUCUCUAGGAUUCAGAUGGGGGGGGGCAGCCCCACCUGGAGAUGCCGCCAGGACUGAACAUCAGCAUGUAAAGCAGAUGGUCUAAUCCUGUGCUAUGGACAACCCUAGACUUGGGAGUCUUCUUCUGCACUUAAAGGUUGUGGGGAUGGUCUCUCUUUAGAAAUGUUGGAAGAAGAAUGAUCUGAAAUACAGAUGUGAACCUGAAGAGAGAAGAUGCAGCAAAGCUGCGGACAGAGCAGCAGGUGCACCAAAGUUCUGAAGAAGCAUCACCACUCAGGAGGGGCAAGGUGGGUGGGUUGCCGUGGUAACAAUGCCUUGCCCUCCCUUGUGACAUCUCUCCCUUAAAAGUCACCAACUGCAGGUGUCCCUUGUGGGUUAGUGAGGAGAGGUCAGGAGAGAGCAGUGUGGUUGGAGUUGGUGGGAAGAGGUUCAGGAGAGGCUUUUGAUUCAUUAGUAUUUUCUAAUUUGAUCAUUUUCCAUUUUGAUUUGCUGCCCCACUAGCUAACGUGGUACCUCAGGUUAAGAACAGUUUCAGGUUAAGAACGGACCUCCAGAACCAAUUGAGUUCGUAACCAGAGGUACCACUGUAUAUUGGAGGGGGGACUUUUUCUGGACAGCAUACUGUUCAUACUGUGAGUAGAAUUCCUACUCUUGGUCUCCUGGGGGGGGGGGUCCUGGGGUCCCCUGCGCAGCCUUGGCUCUCUUGAAAUCGUCUCAGCCAGUCACUCCCCUUCAAAAGAGCUCAGCUUCUCCACAUUCUUUCUCUGCCUUCCCAUUUUCUUUCCACCUCAUCAUUUACAUUUAUUGUUACAUUCAUAGCCCCCUUUCCUCCCAGGAGCUCACAACAACCCUGCGAAGUAGUCUAGGCUGAGAAAAGAGACUGGCCCAAGGUCACCCAGGGAGCUUCAUGGCUGAGUGGGGAUUUGAACCCUGCCUGGUCUCCCAGGUCCUCCUAGUGCAGCCCUCUAACCACCACACCUCCCCCUGCCUCCAUUUCCCAUCUUUCCAACCGUCAAAUGCAAUAGGCAUUCUCCCCCUUCCUGGGGGUCUCUCUAGCUCUAAGCAAGACUCCACUACCUUCCCCUCUCAGUUGCCCAACAUUUUCUGCUCCUCUUCUGGGACACCUUGAUGCUUGGAGGACCCUCCAGGCAGGACAGGACAGGCUGUCCUAAGAAGACGAGGCAGAGCAGCCCUUGAAAUGCAGGCAAUGCUUCUCUUUUCUUUG
This is a long non-coding RNA of Podarcis muralis (Common wall lizard), 3388 nucleotides long. NCBI's taxonomy places the organism in Eukaryota, Metazoa, Chordata, Lepidosauria, Squamata, Lacertidae. The record is from Ensembl.